Molecule: long non-coding RNA, 2143 nt
Organism: Gasterosteus aculeatus (three-spined stickleback)
Lineage: Eukaryota; Metazoa; Chordata; Actinopteri; Perciformes; Gasterosteidae
Source: Ensembl
UGUCCUGGAGAUGCUGAGCUGCUCCAAGUUCUCCGGGCUGGAGACAUGGCUCUGCAUGCCGUCCUCCUUACUGCUGCCCAGCGGCCCGGACCUCACCCCCACCUCCUCCUCUUCACAUGCAUCCAACCAGCCGACCUCCUCUGCCUCAUCCUCCUCAUCCUCAGCCUCCAACUGCCGUCGCUCCACCUGCAGCGAUCCAGGAGAGACGCUCAGGUCGUGGGACGGCGACUCCUCCCUCCCCCCUCCUGCUCUCCUCCCAGUCUCCUCCACCCCCGCUGGACAGUCCUCCUCCCCCCCCCUCCUCCUCCUCCGCCGGGGGGGGCAUCAGGAAGCGUCGGCGCCUUGCUGCCAGUCCCGGAGGACUCCACUGGAACUCUGCAGGUUUGGUGCAACGGGACUGGUCACCUGACCCGUCUCCGGUGUCGGGGGAGAACGCAACAGCAGGACGAGGGGCGAGCCCCCCCCCCUGGUGCAGGUAGGCGGGGCCACGUGGGGGGCCGACCGGGCUGCCCUGAGACUCCUGAGUCGGCUGGAGAGAGGCAGGAAGAAGGUCCACGGCAUCCAGAGUCUGGGAACCACUGGCAGAUACGACUCCAGGAGGAAUCGUGAUGCUUCAGCCUCAUGUUUGGUCUCCUCGUCUGAGGAGACGCUGACAGCAUAUCAGACAAGAACAACAACAGCGUGAUGUUCAGAACAUUCAGCAGCAUCCGCGGCUUUAAUAACGCUCCACACACACCGAUGGGCCCAAGGCAGCCAUCAGGAAUAAUGGCCUCCGUCUACGCGUUGCCAUGGCGAUCGGGUGGAGGCGAUGAGCUCGGUGGGAGACUCUGAGGACAACUUCUGGUGUUUGUGGAUCCCAGAGCUGCUGGAGUGGAUUCUGAUAACGAGAAGCUCCAUAUAACAAUAAUCACAAAUGAGUCAACCAUUGGAAUAAAAAACUGUUUUAGUUUCAGCUUCCUCCACUCGUGCUUUUUAGAUUCCUACAGAUAUUUGUGUUAAUUUGAUUUAAUAACUUCUCUAAUGACCAGUGGAGGAUGUAUUUAAACAACUUUAACGUGUCAUCAUCACACAAAUCCGACUGAGCUGUAAACUCUGUAACUGCCUUAAUGUUGAUUUAAAACCGUCUUGUGGUUUAUUCAAUUACAAUAAUGGACUCAAACAUUUAGAUGGACAUUUGUUUAAUUAUCCAUUCAAAUCUUAAAUCAAACACCAUCUAAACAAAGUUAAUAAACUUUGGUAGUAACUGUUGUCACAUUCUACCUCCUCUCAUUCUAGUUGGCUUCCUUUCCCCACGUCCUACUUUCUCUCCCGUAUACACACGUACAGACAAGUGCAGUAAAAGACUACACAAUAGUGCAAAAGAUGACAGUUUCAUAAUUUCAGUGCUCCAACUAUUUGAUUUACAUGGAAAUAUGCAGCUAUAUAUGUUUAUAUUUGCAUAUAGAUAUAAAUCUAUUCUAUAUAACGAAUAUAUAAAUCUAUUUCUAUAUAUACAUAGUGCAUAGCUAUAUAAAUCUGUAUGUAUUCAUGUUUACAGGCGUGUUUUACUUUCGUAAAAGGUUCUCCUUCACCUGUUGCUCCUCCACGGUAACCAUGGAAACAGAGCCCAGCCAGCCAUCGCCACAAUUGUUUUAUUUCUCUCACCACACAGAGAAGCCGUAACUCCUGAUGUUCUCCGUGUGGGCGUGUGCGUGUGUGUGUGUGUAUGUGAUGUUCAUCACUGUCGUCACGAUGUACAAACAUCUGGAUUUAUGGAGCUAAUAACACUUCACUUACUUACCUUUAGGGUUACUGAUUUAAAUCGUGUGUAGACAUCGACUACUUCAUACACUAAAUGCACCCUUAUAGACGGCAAAUACUUUUAUACCAUAAAUAAACUUAAAUAUCAUGAAUAUACUUAAAUAACACAAACACACAAACUGCAAAAAAUGUCUAGAGUUAAAGUUAUUACAAUCAGCUGCUACUAUAUUUGAAUAAUUGAAUUUGGAUCUUUUCACCAUCUGAUGGUGAUCAAGAUGAUCAGAAGAAACACGUUGCAGCAGAGAAAAUAAAAUGAAUAUAUGAUAUACAGUAAUAAUAUAUGAUAUACAGUAAUAAUAUAUGAUAUACAGUAAUGAAUAUAUGAUAUACAGUAAUGAAUAUA